RNAcentral lists this ribosomal RNA (442 nucleotides) under uncultured prokaryote. RNAcentral's name for it is "bacterial SSU rRNA". It matches the Rfam family "Bacterial small subunit ribosomal RNA", at positions 355 to 796 of the family's 1533-position model. The record is from RNAcentral.
UAGGGAAUAUUGGGCAAUGGGGGCAACCCUGACCCAGCCAUGCCGCGUGAGGGAAGACGGCUUUCUGAGUUGUAAACCUCUUUUAUACAGGAAGACUAGUCCAUGCGUGGAUAAGAGACGGUACUGUAAGAAUAAGCACCGGCUAACUCCGUGCCAGCAGCCGCGGUAAUACGGAGGGUGCAAGCGUUGUCCGGAAUUAUUGGGUCUAAAGGGUGCGUAGGUGGCUUUAUAAGUCAGAGGUGAAAUCCCAGCGCUUAACGUUGGAACUGCCUUUGAUACUGUAUAGCUUGAGAUAAUUUGGGGUAGGCGGAAUUGAUGGUGUAGCGGUGAAAUGCAUAGAUAUCAUCAAGAACACCGAUAGCGUAGGCAGCUUACUAAGAUUAAUCUGACACUGAUGCACGAAAGCGUGGGUAGCGAACAGGAUUAGAUACCCCCGUAGUCC